Molecule: long non-coding RNA, 1425 nt
Organism: Hippoglossus stenolepis (Pacific halibut)
Lineage: Eukaryota; Metazoa; Chordata; Actinopteri; Pleuronectiformes; Pleuronectidae
Exons: 3
Source: RefSeq, a predicted model, not a curated record
CUCUGCAGCUUGUCCUAAAUGCUGCAGCACGUGUCCUGAAGAGAACCAGGUACAGAGACCACAUGUCUCCUGUGUUAGCUUCACUACACUGGCUUCCUGUUACAUUUAGAAUUUAAAAUCCCUCCUGCUGUGGUAGCGACGGCCGACACGCCCCCUUGCGGUUGCUGCGGUUCAUGGUCACAGUGAUGUACUUCCUCUUCUGGUGCAGCGAGGAGCUGAUGUGGACCAGCAGUCGGGACAGAUGAAGAACACAGCUCUGCAUGAAGCUGCAGCUCAGGGUCCUGAAGGACUGAAGUGUGCUGAGGUCCUGCUCAGCUGCAGGGCCAGUGUGAGGCGGAGGAAUGCCGCCGGUCAAACGGCGUUUGACACAGCGGCGAGCUCCGGCUGUAACAACAUGGCGUCUCUGCUGGCUGCUCAGACUGGACUGGAUCUACUGGACAAACUGAGGAAACACAAACUGAACCUGGACGUUUGCUGAGCCGACAUAAACUCUGAAAAACAUUGUUUUCUGAUGAAUUAGUUGAAAUAUGUUCGGAUUGAAAACAGCUGAGAACCCGGAUGUUUAGGAAAGAUCAGCUGACAAUUAAAGGUUGAAAUGUUAACAUUUCAUAAUAAAAGCAUGUGAUGUAUUUAGGUGAAUAAUUAUCUGUGUCUAUAGAAAUGUGAGGAGCAUCCUCAGACAGAACAGAACUCUGCUGCCAGGACUCUAACCAGAGUCAACAGGUUGGAACACAUCUGGUUUAGCCUCUUUACACUGACUCUCAGUUUCUAACGAGUUGAAGCUUCUUUUAAUGACUUGUAAAACUCUCAAUGCUCUGACUGCUCCGUUUAUCUUUAAUCCUGGAGAUCCUCUGGCAGGAGACUUUGAACUGAUCCAGAUUCUGAGCUAAACACUUAGACAGAGAUUGAGAAAUAAGGAUCAGAGACUGUGGAACAACCUGCCUGAGGAAAUGCAGCCGGCUGAGUCGGUAACUUCCUUUAAAUCAAAACUUAAAACCUACUUUUAUCGAACCACAUUCCAUGAUCUUACCUAAUUCUAGUUUUAUUAUUGUAAUGUGUGGUCAUGCUUCAAUUUCUGUCAUCUUUAAGAUCAUUGUCCCCUCAGCAGAGAGAGAGAGAGAGAGAGAGAGAGAGAGAGAGAGAGAGAGAGAGAGAGAGAGAGAGACCAGCUGUAGCCCUGGUGUUUAACACACACACAUUUUAAUAUAUUUUAGUAUUUUAACAAAGGACUAAUGGAUUCUUUGUGCUCUUUUUGUGUAUGUAUGUAUUGUUCUGAUGUGUAUGGGUUGUGUGUGACUACUGUUUACAAACCAAACGGUCCCUCGGGGACAGUAAAGACGACCUUAACCUUAACUUAACCUUUAUUCUACUUUUUAGUUUUUCAUUCUUCGUUGAGUGAGUUUGUAUUUGUUAUUUUUGCGAGUU